AGGCCUACGGGGCGCAGCAGUGAGGAAUAUUGGUCAAUGGGCGAGAGCCUGAACCAGCCAAGUCGCGUGAAGGAUGACGGCCCUACGGGUUGUAAACUUCUUUUGUCAGGGAGCAAUUGGGUCCACGUGUGGGCUUAGCGAGAGUACCUGAAGAAAAAGCAUCGGCUAACUCCGUGCCAGCAGCCGCGGUAAUACGGAGGAUGCGAGCGUUAUCCGGAUUUAUUGGGUUUAAAGGGUGCGUAGGUGGUUAAUUAAGUCAGCGGUGAAAGUUUGUGGCUCAACCAUAAAAUUGCCGUUGAAACUGG
This 305-nucleotide ribosomal RNA is filed under the name uncultured bacterium. RNAcentral's name for it is "bacterial SSU rRNA". It matches the Rfam family "Bacterial small subunit ribosomal RNA", at positions 335 to 636 of the family's 1533-position model. The record is from RNAcentral.